AUACGGAGGGUGCAAGCGUUGUCCGGAUUUAUUGGGUUUAAAGGGUGCGUAGGUGGUUUUUUAAGUCAGUGGUGAAAGCCUACAGCUUAACUGUAGAGGUGCCAUUGAAACUGGAAGACUUGAGUAUGGACGAGGUAGGCGGAAUUUGUGGUGUAGCGGUGAAAUGCAUAGAUACCACAAAGAACACCGAUAGCGAAGGCAGCUUACUAGGCCAUAACUGACACUGAGGCACGAAAGCGUGGGGAGCGAACAGGAUUAGAAACCCCGGUAGUCC
RNAcentral lists this ribosomal RNA (274 nucleotides) under uncultured bacterium. RNAcentral's name for it is "partial 16S ribosomal RNA". It matches the Rfam family "Bacterial small subunit ribosomal RNA", at positions 523 to 796 of the family's 1533-position model. The record is from RNAcentral.